RNAcentral lists this ribosomal RNA (826 nucleotides) under uncultured Alphaproteobacteria bacterium. Its description in RNAcentral is "bacterial SSU rRNA". It matches the Rfam family "Bacterial small subunit ribosomal RNA", at positions 9 to 880 of the family's 1533-position model. The record is from RNAcentral. Lineage: Bacteria; Pseudomonadati; Pseudomonadota; Alphaproteobacteria.
GAGUUUGAUCAUGGCUCAGAACGAACGCUGGCGGCAGGCCUAACACAUGCAAGUCGAGCGCAGUCCUUCGGGACCGAGCGGCGGACGGGUUAGUAACGCGUGGGAAUAUACCCAGUUCUAUGGAAUAGCCUUUGGAAACGAAGAGUAAUACCAUAUACGCCCUUCGGGGGAAAGAUUUAUCGGAAUUGGAUUAGCCCGCGUAAGAUUAGAUAGUUGGUGAGGUAACGGCUCACCAAGUCAACGAUCUUUAGCUGGUUUGAGAGGAUGAUCAGCAACGCUGGGACUGAGACACGGCCCAGACUCCUACGGGAGGCAGCAGUGGGGAAUCUUAGACAAUGGGCGCAAGCCUGAUCUAGCCAUGCCGCGUGAGUGAAGAAGGCCCUAGGGUCGUAAAGCUCUUUCGCCAGGGAUGAUAAUGACAGUACCUGGUAAAGAAACCCCGGCUAACUCCGUGCCAGCAGCCGCGGUAAUACGGAGGGGGUUAGCGUUGUUCGGAAUUACUGGGCGUAAAGCGUACGUAGGCGGAUUAGUAAGUUAGGGGUGAAAUCCCGAGGCUCAACCUCGGAACUGCCUCUAAAACUGCUAGUCUUGAGUUCGAGAGAGGUGAGUGGAUUUCCUAGUGUAGAGGUGAAAUUCGUAGAUAUUAGGAGGAACACCAGUGGCGAAGGCGGCUCACUGGCUCGAUACUGACGCUGAGGUACGAAAGUGUGGGGAGCAAACAGGAUUAGAUACCCUGGUAGUCCACACCGUAAACGAUGAAUGCCAGACGUCGGAUAGCAUGCUAUUCGGUGUCACACCUAACGGAUUAAGCAUUCCGCCUGGGGAG